UCACAAGACCCAAUCAAGGCUGGAACGAGUCUUGCUCACUUUUGAGCCAGUCAAUGGCAAAGGGGAAAAGACUACUCCUAGAUGGGUCAAGUGCACCCCCUGACUGAAGAGGAGGUCCAUUUCCCCAGAGAAGAUGACUUCAGUCAGUCAUUCCAUACCUAGGGUGAGAUUGGGGUCAACUCUUCCAGGAGGUGGUUAGAAGACGGACUCCCCUUUCUCCUCAAGCCUCAUUCAAUGGUGGCUCCUCCCUGGGCCCGGAGCCAAGGCCCAGUCUUGGGAAAGAAAUCUCUCUGUACAGUUCAUCAGAAACGACAUAAAACUUACAAACCAGA
Macaca mulatta (Rhesus monkey) is the source of this 332-nucleotide non-coding RNA. NCBI's taxonomy places the organism in Eukaryota, Metazoa, Chordata, Mammalia, Primates, Cercopithecidae. The record is from RefSeq and is a predicted model, not a curated record.